UACGUAGGAGACGAGCGUUGUCCGGAAUUACUGGGCGUAAAGCGCGUGUAGGCGGAUGAGCAAGUCUGCUGUGAAAUCUCCUGGCUUAACCGGGAGUGGUCGGUGGAAACUGCUCGUCUGGAGGACGGUAGAGGUAGGUAGAAUUCCCGGUGUAGUGGUGAAAUGCGUAGAGAUCGGGAGGAAUACCUGUGGCGAAGGCGGCCUACUGGGCCGGACCUGACGCUGAGACGCGAAGGCGUGGGGAGCGAACGGG
This 253-nucleotide ribosomal RNA is filed under the name uncultured bacterium. RNAcentral describes it as "partial 16S ribosomal RNA". It matches the Rfam family "Bacterial small subunit ribosomal RNA", at positions 524 to 776 of the family's 1533-position model. The record is from RNAcentral.